CCUAGUAACUGCGAGUGAAGCGGGAAAAGCUCAAAUUUAAAAUCUGACAGCUUUUAGCUGUUCGAGUUGUAAUCUAGAGAAGUGCUAUCCGUGCUGGACCGUGUACAAGUCUCCUGGAAUGGAGCGUCAUAGAGGGUGAGAAUCCCGUCUUUGACACGGACUCCCAGUGCAUUGUGAUGUGCUCUCAAAGAGUCGAGUUGUUUGGGAAUGCAGCUCUAAAUGGGUGGUAAAUUCCAUCUAAAGCUAAAUAUUGGCGAGAGACCGAUAGCGAACAAGUACCGUGAGGGAAAGAUGAAAAGAACUUUGGAAAGAGAGUUAAACAGUACGUGAAAUUGUUGAAAGGGAAACGCUUGAAGUCAGUCACAUUGACUGGGGAUCAACCAUGCUUUUGCUUGGUGUAUUUCUUAGUUGAUGGGCCAGCAUCAAUUUUGAUCAGUGGAUAAAGGUUGAGGGAAUGUGGCAUCUCYGGAUGUGUUAUAGCCCUUGAUUGUAUACAUUGGUUGGGAUUGAGGAACUCAGCAUGCCGCAAGGCCGGGUUUUUAACCACGUUCGUGCUUAGGAUGCUGGCAUAAUGGCUUUAAUCGACCCGUCUUGAAACACGGACCAAGGAGUCUAACAUGCCUGCGAGUAUUUGGGUGGUAAACCCAUGUGCGUAAUGAAAGUGAAGAUCAGGAUCUCUGUCGUGGAGAGCACUGAUGCCCGGACCAGACCUUUUGUGACGGAUCUGCGGUAGAGCAUGCAUGUUGGGACCCGAAAGAUGGUGAACUAUGCCUGAAUAGGGUGAAGCCAGAGGAAACUCUGGUGGAGGCUCGUAGCGAUUCUGACGUGCAAAUCGAUCGUCAAAUUUGGGUAUAGGGG
This 858-nucleotide ribosomal RNA is filed under the name Callistosporium elegans. Its description in RNAcentral is "partial large subunit ribosomal RNA". The record is from RNAcentral. Lineage: Eukaryota; Fungi; Basidiomycota; Agaricomycetes; Agaricales; Callistosporiaceae.